RNAcentral lists this ribosomal RNA (406 nucleotides) under uncultured bacterium. RNAcentral describes it as "partial 16S ribosomal RNA". It matches the Rfam family "Bacterial small subunit ribosomal RNA", at positions 30 to 526 of the family's 1533-position model. The record is from RNAcentral.
AUUGAACGCUGGCGGCAGGCCUAACACAUGCAAGUCGAACGAGUGGCGGACGGGUGAGUAAUGUCUGGGAAACUGCCUGAUGGAGGGGGAUACAUCGUGGAAACGGUCGCUAAUACCGCAUCCCAUCAGAUGUGCCCAGAUGGGAUUAGCUUGUGGGUGGGGUAACGGCUCACCAAGGCGACGAUCCCUCGCUGGUCUGAGAGUAUGACCAGCCACACUGGAACUGAGACACGGUCCAGACUCCUACGGGAGGCAGCAGUGGGGAAUAUUGCACAAUGGGCGCAAGCCUGAUGCAGCCAUGCCGCGUGGAUGAAGAAGGCCUUCGGGUUGUAAAGUACUUUCAGCGGGGAGGCGUGACCCGCAGAAGAAGCACCGGCUAACUCCGUGCCAGCAGCCGCGGUAAUUC